UACGUAGGGGGCUAGCGUUGUCCGGAAUCAUUGGGCGUAAAGCGCGUGUAGGCGGCCCGAUAAGUCCGCUGUGAAAGUCCAGGGCUCAACCCUGGGAUGCCGGUGGAUACUGUCGGGCUCGAGUCCGGAAGAGGUGAGUGGAAUUCCCAGUGUAGAGGUGAAAUUCGUAGAUAUUGGGAAGAACACCGGUGGCGAAGGCGGCUCACUGGCUCAUUUCUGACGCUCAGGCGCGACAGCGUGGGGAGCAAACAGG
Molecule: ribosomal RNA, 253 nt
Filed under: uncultured bacterium
Lineage: Bacteria
Description: partial 16S ribosomal RNA
Rfam family: Bacterial small subunit ribosomal RNA
Source: RNAcentral